CCGAUUUGGUUGUUGAUUUCAAUCACCCACUUUAUUUGCAUUCGUCGGAUACUCCAAGUGUAUUAUUAAUCUCUCAUUUGUUGCUUGGAGUUGAAAAGUACAAUAUUUGGAGUCGGUCUAUAAAGAUUGCGUUGUUGGCUAAGAACAAAUUAGGGUUUGUGGAUGCUACUUGUUCUAAGGCUUCGCUACCAAAGUAUUUGAGUUAUCAAUAGAAGCGGUGUAAUGCUAUUGUAUUGUCCUGGAUUUUGAAUACAAUUAGCAGAGAGCUCUCGACAGGAAUUGUAGUUGCUUCUAGUGUAGCGGCCGUGUGGAAUGAUCUUAGUGAAAGUUUCAUAAAGUUGAUGGCUCUAGG
This 352-nucleotide long non-coding RNA is filed under the name Gossypium barbadense (sea-island cotton). Its description in RNAcentral is "long non-coding RNA (GBAR_LNC005210)". The record is from RNAcentral. Lineage: Eukaryota; Viridiplantae; Streptophyta; Magnoliopsida; Malvales; Malvaceae.